This 479-nucleotide long non-coding RNA is filed under the name Apteryx owenii (little spotted kiwi). RNAcentral's name for it is "lncRNA (ENSAOWG00000006609.1)". Lineage: Eukaryota; Metazoa; Chordata; Aves; Apterygiformes; Apterygidae. The record is from RNAcentral.
UGCUUUUGAACUUUUCAAAAUAGCAUCGUUCCCCUUGAACAGUUAGUGCAUCUUUGCUCAACAAUUUGCGUACAUUUUAAUUACAUAGUUUUCCUCUUAUGCUGCCUAAUAGCUAUAUGAUAUGCUUUAAUUAAGGCUCAUGAUGAGAGCUUGGCUCUCCUGAAUUGUUUCCCUAUUGUCUCCUAUGAUUAAUAGACAAUUAGUCUUUUAUUUGUAGACUACUUGCCACGGUCUUUUCUUAGGGUGGUAGGGCUGAAAGCAACAGGAUCAAACAUCUCAAGCCUGCUGCUAGAUGUUGUGGUCUGACAAACUACAUGGCUUCCGUUAUCAAAACAGAGGGAACUUUUGCCACUCACCUAUGAGCAAUCAGAAUGAAGCCAAAAGUACUCACUAUUGGCCAAAAUAAGAGAGAGUUUGUCAUCUUUCAGGUAAGAGAAAACACUAAACUUUUCACCUUUUAUUUUGAAAUUUCCUAGGUU